Molecule: non-coding RNA, 72 nt
Organism: Larimichthys crocea (large yellow croaker)
Lineage: Eukaryota; Metazoa; Chordata; Actinopteri; Sciaenidae
Source: Rfam
GGGGAUGUAGCUCAGUGGGAGAGCGUGUGCUUCGCAUGUAUGAGGUCCUGGGUUCAAUCCCCAGCAUCUCCA